GAUAGGGUGGCUGAAUAUAGGCUAUAAAUUGUAAAUUUAUAAAUGGUGUAAACCUCUUAUCA
RNAcentral lists this transfer RNA (62 nucleotides) under Panaorus albomaculatus. Its description in RNAcentral is "tRNA-Tyr". The record is from RNAcentral. Lineage: Eukaryota; Metazoa; Arthropoda; Insecta; Hemiptera; Rhyparochromidae.